Non-coding RNA from Anas platyrhynchos (mallard), 2570 nucleotides. The record is from RefSeq and is a predicted model, not a curated record. Lineage: Eukaryota; Metazoa; Chordata; Aves; Anseriformes; Anatidae.
UCUUCCUAUUUUCCUCCUGGUGUUUUUUUUUUUGUUUUUGCACCAUCCCCUGGUUCUACAGGCAGCCUGGGGGUGGGGGCUGCAGCUCGCUGCCCCCCAGCUGUGGCCAUCACCUGUGGCUCCCUGGGGCUGGGCAGGUGGCAGAGGCUCUUGCUGCUGGUGCUUUGGGGCUUUUUGCCCCCAAAUUCAUGGUGUGUGCUGCUUUGGGAGAGAGAAGAGGCAGAGCACAGUCCCAGCCUGCUUUACCCUGUGCCCUGGAGGAGACAAAGUCCUGGCGUGCUGCAUUUUGGAGAGGGGAAGCUGAGGCCUUCACCCAUGGGAACCUCCCAAGGACAUGGAUUCCUGGUGACAACCCCCUUCCCACCCAGCUGCCUGUGUGCAGAAGCAGAUUUUGGGCCAUGGGAUCCCCACUCCAGCGCCGCCGCGUCCUGCUGCACAUCUUGCGCCUAAAUUAUUCACGCCGCUCGCAAGCUGCUCCGUGCAGCCCGGAGUCGUCCUGCGGUUGAUUUUAAGGCAUGGUGACAGGUCGAGGACUGGAUCAGUAGCGUUAAUACACGAGCACGGGGCACGCGGCGCCAGCGGAGCAGAUGUCGUGUAAGUCACAGCGUGUUAACGCUGCGAUGAGGCAUCGCGGUGACGCUGCUGAGAUGAUGCCACCUUGGAGAGCAAACGGGGCGUAGUGGUAAUCAAGGAUGCUCCGUUCUGCUUCUCCCAUGAGCAUCUCCAUUGGAUCUGUUAAAUCUCGUCCAGGACCCGCUCCGGGAUGCUGCGGGAGAUGGGAUGCUCUUUGCCUGGUUUUUGGUGCCUGGAGGGAAGUUAUCGGUACCCGCGCAGGUUGUGCAUCUUUCCUUAAAGAUCAGCACAGAGAAAGAAAUGCCUUCAGGGGGCUGUUAGCUUGUGCUAGUGUAAGGCAAGAAAGCAAAGAUGAAGGACGUCUCCUUUUUUCCUUCUUGACUGUUAAGGCUGUGAAGGUCAUGGCCAAGAUGUGAAUACCCAAAAAAGACAUCUCGGGUGAUGAAGAUGAAGCCCACCUUGGGUUUCAGUUUGGUUGGAUGCCAGACUGGCCAGAAAGUCAAGAAGAAAAAGGCCCGGUCCUUUUGCUGCCUUAUCUGACUUGCACCUUGCAAGGAGUGAGUCAACUGGAAGGAAGCAAAACCUUGCACUUGGAUUCAAAGCCAAAAUCAGGUUCUGACACUGCAAAGCUUGGAAAUGCUUGUGGUGUCUUUCCUCCCAUUGUAGCACGGGGGUUCUCUUUGCAGCCUUCCCACCCAACAAACAAAAACCAACCCCCAAAACAACGGGGUUACUUGAAACCUCACCCAGGAUGGCUGCAUUUUUUUCCCAGCUCCUUUGCAAGGGCUGGGAUCCUGUCUGCAGUGAGAGAUUGGUGGCGUGCUCACCCCCAUGCAGGGGCCCUUCAGCCUCUCCAGUUGCUUUUGGGGUUGCCCACAGGGGUCCCAGGGUCUUGCUGGGGGCCGGGGCAGCUUUGCACCUGGCAGGAAGGGAUUCAGGGAGGCGGCAGCAAAAGCUCAGCCAGCAUGCCAAAAUCCUCAUUAAAGACGCAUGAGCUUGGCAGUAUAUAAAUAUGAAACUUGGACAAAGACAGCUUUUUUUUUCUUGUCUGUUCCCCCCGUCGCCAAAGUACAAUCAAUUUCCUCAGAGUAAGUAAGAGCAUCUAUAUAUAGCCAUGGGGAGAUGCUGAAGUGUUGCAAAAGGCUCUGCUCAGGCGGCAGGGUGCACUCCCCAGGCUUGGUGAGUGCCUGAAGGAAACCCCCAGGAGCUGGGAAUGUGGGGCUGAAGGGGCUGAAGUCCCUUUUCUGUGUACACUGGCUCCGUGAAGGUGGCCGUGCACCCUCCAGCACCCAAGGUGAUGCCUCUUCGCUCUGCUGUAAGAAGAUAAAGGAGCCCAGCAGCUCCUGGUUUGCAGGAAGUCGAAGGGUACUUUUUGCUUUUUUAAAUUUUCAAAUCGGAUUUUUAUUUAAAAUGGUUAUCUAUGAAAAGCAGGAGCCCAUAAGAGGGUUAAUGACUCGGUCACUGGUUCCCCGCGAGCCAGCAAUAACCUGAUAAAUCGCUGAGUACACUCAGGCUCGCAUCGCCUGAGUCCCAGCUCAGGCUAUUUCCUGUGCGGUGGAGACCUCUGAGUAGGUCAUUACUGCCUAAUUACUGCCUAAACGCUCUCAUUUGUCCUCCCGUUGUCAGCCCAGCCAUGGCAGAAGUUCCUCCUGGCCUCCCGCGUCUCUCAGACCCAAGAAAAAAAAUGGUGAAGAAAGACAGAAGCAAGGCUUUUUUCCCAUCAUAUUGCAAAGAAAACUCCUUCCACUCCAGCAUGUGCUGGCACCCGGCUUUUUCCUUCGUUACAAGCCGGGGAUGAGCACGACACAUUUUGGGUGCUUGCAGCAGAGCUCGUCCCUUCUCCUCGCCUCUGCUGUUGCAUUUGAUGGCUUGGUCGUGAGCACCCAUCUCUCGCUCCCGCAGCCAAAAGCACUGCCACGUCAGCAUCUUCCCCAGCCUCGUGCUGUUUGGGCAGAGCGUCAGGCUUCGGGUGGGUCCUGGAUUUUAUUUUAUUUUUU